This 406-nucleotide ribosomal RNA is filed under the name uncultured bacterium. RNAcentral describes it as "partial 16S ribosomal RNA". It matches the Rfam family "Bacterial small subunit ribosomal RNA", at positions 30 to 526 of the family's 1533-position model. The record is from RNAcentral.
AUUGAACGCUGGCGGCAGGCCUAACACAUGCAAGUCGAACGAGUGGCGGACGGGUGAGUAAUGUCUGGGAAUCUGCCUGAUGGAGGGGGAUAACUACCGGACACGGUUGCCAAUUCCGCAUACCAUCAGAUGUGCCCAGAUGGGUUUAGCUUGUUGGUGGGGUAACGGCUCACCAAGGCGACGAUCCCUAGCUGGUCUGAGAGGAUGACCAGCCACACUGGAACUGAGACACGGUCCAGACUCCUACGGGAGGCAGCAGUGGGGAAUAUUGCACAAUGGGCGCAAGCCUGAUGCAGCCAUGCCGCGUGUAUGAAGAAGGCCUUCGGGUUGUAAAGUACUUUCAGCGGGGAGGCGUUACCCGCAGAAGAAGCACCGGCUAACUCCGUGCCAGCCGCCGCGGUAAUAC